This 330-nucleotide ribosomal RNA is filed under the name Triticum aestivum (bread wheat). RNAcentral describes it as "partial small subunit ribosomal RNA". Lineage: Eukaryota; Viridiplantae; Streptophyta; Magnoliopsida; Poales; Poaceae. The record is from RNAcentral.
AUGGAUGCAGCAAGUUACUCAUAUACUGAACAUGGUUUUCAAGUUGCAAUGGAUGAGUUAAAGACAGAGUGUGAAGCAGCUUGGGUGUGGCUUAGCAAAAUACCCAAACACACUUGGGCCAGACAUGCCAUGGAUGUGAACUGCAAGACAGACUUAGUUGUUAACAAUCUAAGUGAGGUUUUCAAUAGGUGGGUCCUAGAUGUUAGGGCUAAGCCAAUAAGGACCAUGGUUGAUGGAAUUAGGACAAAGUUGAUGGUCAAGUUCAAUGCAAAUAGAAAAAAACUGAUACUGUCAAAUGGGAGAUUUGUCCUACAUAUGCAGAGAAACUAG